RNAcentral lists this ribosomal RNA (481 nucleotides) under uncultured bacterium. Its description in RNAcentral is "partial 16S ribosomal RNA". It matches the Rfam family "Bacterial small subunit ribosomal RNA", at positions 28 to 523 of the family's 1533-position model. The record is from RNAcentral.
GAUGAACGCUGGCGGCGUGCCUAACACAUGCAAGUCGAACGAUGAAACCGCCCCCGGGCGGACAUGAAGUGGCGAACGGGUGAGUAACACGUGACCGACCUGCCCCCCGCCCAGGGACAGCCCCCCGAAAGGGGGAUUAAUACCUGGUACUCCGGAAGCGGCGCAUGCCGCCCCCGGGAAAGCUUUUCGCGGCGGGGGAUGGGGUCGCGGCCCAUCAGGUAGACGGCGGGGCAGAGGCCCACCGUGCCGACGACGGGUAGCCGGGUUGAGAGACCGGCCGGCCACAUUGGGACUGAGAUACGGCCCAGACUCCUACGGGAGGCAGCAGUGGGGAAUUGUGCGCAAUGGGGGCAACCCUGACGCAGCAACGCCGCGUGCGGGACGAAGGCGUCCGCGUCGUAAACCGCUUUCAGCGGGGAACACUUUUCGAGGGUACCCGCAGAAGAAGCCCCGGCUAAAUACGUGCCAGCCGCCGCCGUAA